ACGCACGCUGGCGGCGUGCUUAACACAUGCAAGUCGAACGGAAAGGCCCUGCUUUUGUGGGGUGCUCGAGUGGCGAACGGGUGAGUAACACGUGAGUAACCUGCCCUUGACUUUGGGAUAACUUCAGGAAACUGGGGCUAAUACCGGAUAGGAGCUCCUGCUGCAUGGUGGGGGUUGGAAAGUUUCGGCGGUUGGGGAUGGACUCGCGGCUUAUCAGCUUGUUGGUGGGGUAGUGGCUUACCAAGGCUUUGACGGGUAGCCGGCCUGAGAGGGUGACCGGCCACAUUGGGACUGAGAUACGGCCCAGACUCCUACGGGAGGCAACAGUGGGGAAUAUUGCACAAUGGGCGGAAGCCUGAUGCAGCAACGCCGCGUGCGGGAUGACGGCCUUCGGGUUGUAAACCGCUUUCGCCUGUGACGAAGCGUGAGUGACGGUAAUGGGUAAAGAAGCACCGGCUAACUACGUG
RNAcentral lists this ribosomal RNA (467 nucleotides) under uncultured bacterium. RNAcentral describes it as "partial 16S ribosomal RNA". It matches the Rfam family "Bacterial small subunit ribosomal RNA", at positions 29 to 507 of the family's 1533-position model. The record is from RNAcentral.